Molecule: long non-coding RNA, 558 nt
Filed under: Ursus maritimus (polar bear)
Lineage: Eukaryota; Metazoa; Chordata; Mammalia; Carnivora; Ursidae
Description: lncRNA (ENSUMAG00000012342.1)
Source: RNAcentral
CUCGUUACCUCCGAUCGGAUCGUCGUGAUUGCGUUUGGUGGAGCGGCGCCUCUCCGCAGUUGUACUCCCGAUACAAAGCAAAAGGUCAAUCAGUGCUCUCAAGCUUCUAAAGCAACGAAGUCAGAAAGCAGGAGGGGAACACAUCUUCACCAGCCAAACAAGAUGCCCUGUUACUCACACAACUUUGUCAUGACAAUCUCUUCCUAAGAAGUUACUGGAGUAGAGUUCUCCCAGGCAAUUGAGCUCUCCCAGAGGAAGAGGAGGAGACAAGUCGAGAGCCAAGGUAUUUUACAAGUCUCAUUUCAUCUGACAGCCCUUUCAGCGGCCAUUUGCACAGAUUCUCCUCAAAGCUCCCGCCCCACAUCGUCGUCCUAAGGCCCUGGAGCUCCUGGACAAAGCGCGGCCUCCAGGUCGUCACUGCCUGCACCUCGGGGAUCCCCCUCCAGAAAAGAACGGAGAACCACCUAGGUCCCACCUGCUUGGUUGGUCAUUAGUUCCGCGGAGGCGCUUAAAGAGAAAUCAGUAACAAUAGCAAUAAUAAUAACAACAUAUUUGUGU